This is an RNA transcript of Bombus pyrosoma, 2777 nucleotides long. RefSeq lists it as uncharacterized. The record is from RefSeq and is a predicted model, not a curated record. Lineage: Eukaryota; Metazoa; Arthropoda; Insecta; Hymenoptera; Apidae. The transcript is spliced from 2 exons.
UAGACAAACGACCAAGUAAUACGUAGAUGCUGCGCUGGUUGAUGAGCGUUGGUCGCGCGGUUCGCCUGACGCGCGCGCAAACCAUUCGCCCGAUAGCGUGCACAAGCCGCUGUAACUGUACGUGUUUACGCGCGUCAAGAGAACGCGCCGCUACGAAUUCGAUGCGUAUCCGCGCGUCCACGGUAAAAAGUAGAGAAGCGUGCGCGCGAUUAGUGCAACGACGAUGAAUCGGCAAGCGGGAAUAGGACAGGAGCAGCGGCAGAAACGCGCUCGCGAGCUCUCAUAGAUAGGAAGUUGGAAGCGUAGUGGUCGCGAGGUAUAGUCGUAUAACGCGUCUAUACCGUCUGGGCACAUACGCACGCGAUAUCGCGUCCAGUCCGCGCGGUAUUAAUUGUUACGACGAGAAAGGCAAAUAAUUAUUAUAAUUGUCCGGUAUAAUAAUAGGAUUCAGCGCUGGAAUACCGCUUAUACAUCGUUCGUCGUAAUAAAGCGGCCAUCGAUUUCGAGCCGGCGUCCAUCGAUAUCGGUGUAGGCGCGCGGCUAUAUAACAGGCAAGCGCAUGAUACGCGUACGCAGCUGGACACGUAGUUCGUACAGGUAUUUACGUAGCGGUGUUGUGUGCGUGUACACGGGCAAGUGGUGUGUGUGCGCGUAUAACGCAUAUCGAAUGUUUAUAUUAUAUGCACACACCUAACGAAAGCCUAAAUAUACUAGCCACCGUGUGGGAUCACGCCUAUAGGCGGCUAUUUGAGCGAUAAACAACCGGGCCCGACGUGUUACGCGGCGAAUGGUAAAAUGUAUGUAUACCGGGUGUACGCCUCCAUUCUGCCACGUUGUUGGUGUAUCAAUUGUGAUUAGGGACAAAGAUCCGACGAAUUAUUCCCGCUCGGUCUCUAAUCUGAUAACCGAAGCCAGUACGCGCACACGUCAUUGCAUCGAUUGUUUCUGCAUGUGGGAAAUCAUAAAGGGCAAUGAGUGUCCGAGUGUCUUCAUUGUGCUCGAUAGAACGAAACGCUAAUCACUUUUAUUGGUACGAUCGCGACGUCGCCCGCCACGCAACUAAACCUACUCUCGCCGUACGACCUUCUACCACUUCCAUCGUCUUCUAUUCUCAACGAAUUUAUCACGAACAGGUUACAAUGUUGACGAAUCCGAUGGGUCCGCGGAUGGAACGGCGGGACACUGGUUGAAAUUCUUGGACCGGUGGCGAAGCGUUUUAUGACUUGAUCGAACCGUUCCUCCGCUCGCUACCGCAAUAAUAUUCGAGAGUUUGCACUCCCCUUUCGAAAGGCCGCACCCCAAGGACCGAGGGAUGAAAAACCGAGGGGUAGUCGGUCGAAUCAAUUCCAAACAGGGGAGGGUUUCGGCGUUUUCAACGGUGGGUCACGGCACUGGGUUACCGGGUGCGUAUACCUCGAAUUCGCUCCUUCUUUCCUCCUCUCUCUCUCUCUCUCUCUCUGUUAUUCUUCUCGGCGCGACACUUCUCGGGCUACAAAUUUAACCGGCAGAAUAGAACGUUGGAACACCGUGGUUGCCUGUUCGCUUUGCGAGAAUGUUCGCGGCGGCAACUUCUCAGAAAUCGCGAUUACCUGAAUUUCGUUUGUUGUUUGUCGCGCCGCAGCUUCGAAACGAUACGACGAUAGAACACGGUCGGAACCCGGAAACGAAAUCCUGGAAGGCAGUUUGGCGGAUAUCGGGACGGUGGCGCGAUAGCGGUACAUCGGGAUUGUCCAUCUUCGAAAUAUCAUUUGGGAUGUAAAUUUCGUGUGGCCGGCUCGAAUACAAAAUGCGUACGAGAUUCGAGAUCGGUGGAUUUGCGAUAGGAAGAGGAACUUUUGGAUUUCCAUUUACAGGGCGUAGCCUGAUUGGACGAAUCGACAUCACCGGUCGCUUCGCUAUUCUCCCCGCAGGACACGUCACGCACAUUGGCACAGACUUAUGGGUAUAAUUCAUCGACAUUACUCGCAACGGGGGUCGGCGGACCACCCCAGCGCAACCACCGUAACCCAGCACGCGCGUUUUAAUCCAUGCGGUGCCCUACCAUACUUUUACACGCUUCCGUAUUUACGAGCUCGCAACCAUUUGUUCAGCUCUGCUCCUUCGACUCUCUAUCUCCACAGAGAACCUGAUUCGUAUCGAUCAGCGAAUCAAAGUCCAUCACUCUGUUUAUGCUGAUCAACCACGAGAAACACGAUGUUUCUAGCUGCGGGACUAACUGCGGUCAAAGAUGCCAGCAAAGCUUUCGAGUCGAAGCUAAGACGAAGAAAGGACACGGCGGAGGGAGUCGUUGACCGACGAGUGGAUGUCACGGUGAAACUGACUACCACCGGGCGAAAAUAGAGGCAACGACGCGGAGGAAACUAGCGGAGGGUCGCCAAUCACGAGAAGCUUUCUCCGUAUGGUUGGAGAACGCUAGGCGAAUUCAUCGGUCGUAAAAUCUCGUAUGGAUAAUGAGUUUCCGUCGUUUUGCGGUGCAACGCGAGCAACAGGAAUCGAGUCGGACGAAGAGUAAGAAAGGUUAACAGAGGGAAGGUACCACCGAUAGUCGAGGAAAGAACCCGAGGGGAAAGGCAAAGGGAGAUGAGAAGAAGAGGCAGAAAAAAGGUGGAAGGAAAGGACGGGACCAGAGGUGGACCACACACACACACAUGCAGCGAACGUGACCGAAGCGAUCCAAGUCCAUAUUGUAAUGCGGAGGUAUCCAUCCUGCCGCAUUAUCGUACAGUCCGCGGCAGCAGCACGAUACUUCCGUGAUCAUGCUUUCCAGCACGAAAUCA